AGGGGCGUAGUUCAGUUGGUAGAACGGCGGUCUCCAAAACCGCAUGUCGUGGGUUCGAAUCCUGCCGCCCCUGCCA
RNAcentral lists this transfer RNA (76 nucleotides) under Alicyclobacillus sp. Its description in RNAcentral is "tRNA-Trp". It matches the Rfam family "tRNA". From Rfam's summary of the family: Transfer RNA (tRNA) molecules are approximately 80 nucleotides in length. The record is from RNAcentral. Lineage: Bacteria; Bacillati; Bacillota; Bacilli; Caryophanales; Alicyclobacillaceae. RNAcentral also lists the same sequence under 4 other names.